AUGCCGAGCGUGGCGAGGACGAGCCCCGCGGCCACGCGCUGGAGAGAGGUGAGGCCCUGCGGGCGCCGCGUCAGGCGGGCCGCCAGAGGGACCAGGAGGCGCUCGUUGAGCGCGGUGAAGAGCAGGACGGAGAGGAAGAGGAACACGGAGAGCGAGCCCGCCGGGACGACGAAGCGGCCGCCGGCCCGGCGGUCCAUCUGCUCGGCCUGCUGGAUGGAGAAGGUGGUCAUCUGGGAGUAG
This 240-nucleotide ribosomal RNA is filed under the name Triticum aestivum (bread wheat). RNAcentral describes it as "partial small subunit ribosomal RNA". The record is from RNAcentral. Lineage: Eukaryota; Viridiplantae; Streptophyta; Magnoliopsida; Poales; Poaceae.